UGACAUAACCAAACCUGUGCUCACAGCUGGGAAAUGCUGCCUCCUGUCCCCGAAGGGGCAGCACCUGAACCCCACCUGAAGAGACACCAAGGGCUGGGGGUUCCCUGUGCCCCCGUUCUUACCUCUCCCCGAACAGAGUUACCACGACUGCAAAACUCCCAAUGCAGCAUCAAGAACCGAGGUCCCCCCCAACCCUGG
Long non-coding RNA from Gavialis gangeticus (Gharial), 198 nucleotides. RefSeq lists it as uncharacterized. The transcript has 3 exons. The record is from RefSeq and is a predicted model, not a curated record. NCBI's taxonomy places the organism in Eukaryota, Metazoa, Chordata, Crocodylia, Gavialidae.